Molecule: ribosomal RNA, 863 nt
Filed under: uncultured bacterium
Lineage: Bacteria
Description: bacterial SSU rRNA
Rfam family: Bacterial small subunit ribosomal RNA
Source: RNAcentral
GAGUUUGAUCAUGGCUCAGGAUGAACGCUAGCGGCAGGCCUAACACAUGCAAGUCGAACGGUAACAUAGAUUGCUUGCAAUCUGAUGACGAGUGGCGCACGGGUGCGUAACGCGUAUGCAAUCUACCUUUUACAGGAGAAUAGCCCAGAGAAAUUUGGAAUAAUGCUCCAUAAUAUCAUUUAUCAGCAUUGAUUUAUGAUUAAAGUUCCGGCGGUAGAAGAUGAGCAUGCGUUCUAUUAGCUAGUAGGUGAGGUAACGGCUCACCUAGGCAACGAUAGAUAGGGGCCCUGAGAGGGGGAUCCCCCACACUGGUACUGAGACACGGACCAGACUCCUACGGGAGGCAGCAGUGAGGAAUAUUGGACAAUGGAGGAAACUCUGAUCCAGCCAUGCCGCGUGCAGGAUGACUGCCCUAUGGGUUGUAAACUGCUUUUAUAUAGGAAGAAACACUCUCACGUGUGGGGGCUUGACGGUACUAUAUGAAUAAGGAUCGGCUAACUCCGUGCCAGCAGCCGCGGUAAUACGGAGGAUCCAAGCGUUAUCCGGAAUCAUUGGGUUUAAAGGGUCCGCAGGCGGCCUGUUAAGUCAGAGGUGAAAUCCUACAGCUCAACUGUAGAAUUGCCUUUGAUACUGAUAGGCUUGAGUUAUUGUGAAGUGGUUAGAAUGUGUGGUGUAGCGGUGAAAUGCUUAGAUAUCACACAGAACACCCAUUGCGAAGGCAGAUCACUAACAAUAUACUGACGCUCAUGGACGAAAGCGUGGGGAGCGAACGGGAUUAGAUACCCCGGUAGUCCACGCCGUAAACGAUGGAUACUAACUGUUCGACCUUCGGGUUGAGUGUCAAGCGAAAGUGAUAAGUAUCC